UGACCUCAGAUCGGGUAGGACUACCCGCUGAACUUAAGCAUAUCAAUA
This 48-nucleotide ribosomal RNA is filed under the name Cristinia sp. FP-100305. RNAcentral's name for it is "partial 28S large subunit ribosomal RNA". The record is from RNAcentral. Lineage: Eukaryota; Fungi; Basidiomycota; Agaricomycetes; Agaricales; Stephanosporaceae.